Procambarus clarkii (red swamp crayfish) is the source of this 866-nucleotide long non-coding RNA. RefSeq lists it as uncharacterized. The record is from RefSeq and is a predicted model, not a curated record. NCBI's taxonomy places the organism in Eukaryota, Metazoa, Arthropoda, Malacostraca, Decapoda, Cambaridae.
CUGCCUGUGAGCUUCGCCUGCUGUGCUCGUCUGGGAAAAUCUCGCUGUUAGUAAUUGCAUCUGAAGUGGUAUUUUUACUAUUAAGAGUGAGCGUGAUGAAGCUGUCUCUCCUGGUUGUGUUGCUGACACUCAGCCUGGCAUUGGCUGACGACAACGACUCUAAAAACCCGCAAUCACGUUUUUUUCUGGAUCCCCUCGGCUUGUUUAAGCCAUGGCCUUUAGGUGUCCCUACAUUACCUACCUUACCUGGAUUUCCCUCAUUUCCGAAAUUCCCCUUUUUCCCCUUUUUCCCUGGAUUCCCGGGACUACCGAAGCCUCCCUUCCUGGACAGUAAUAACCAGUAUCCAAGCGUCGGUACAGGUAAUCCUGGCGUUUCACCUGGUUUGGGUACCUAUCCAGGGUACGUAGGAAAGCCUGUUGGAACCGGAUUUGGGACGCCAUCACUAAGCCCUUCAGGAUAACGCACACUCUGCUCCAUAUCUGAGUGGCACAGCGGAGAGAGUCGAGCCUGGAGAGAGGUCGACCGUGAACCUUAAGACUGGCUCGCAUUGCACAUAUCAUUCAUCAGCCAUUUCCUCUCACAGUUUCUUCACUAUUUAUCAAGUUCAACCUGAUAACUUCUGUGGAUUAAAUACUUGUGUAUCUAUCUAAUUUAUUUACAAUUUGUUACUUGUUAGCACUGUGUGUUCCCUUGAUUCUCUGCCCUUUAAAUAUGGAUAAAUCUUAGUAGUCUCCGUCACAACAGUGUCACUCUCGUUCACUCUCUGGUUGGACCAGUAUGUCUAGUCAAGUACUCAUUUGGACCUUCGUAAACACCUGUGACUCUAGUGCUCUCUUGUGUAAAUAUAUUUGAGCGUUACAGUCGA